Molecule: ribosomal RNA, 1438 nt
Filed under: uncultured bacterium
Lineage: Bacteria
Description: bacterial SSU rRNA
Rfam family: Bacterial small subunit ribosomal RNA
Source: RNAcentral
AGGGUUUGAUCAUGGCUCAGAACGUACGCUGGCGGCACGCCUAACACAUGCAAGUCGAACGAAGUAGCAAUACUUAGUGGCAGACGGGUGAGUAACAUGUAGGUAUCUGCCCUUUGGCCUGGAAUAACACGAGGAAACUUGUGCUAAUACCGGAUAAGUCUUUACGGAGAAAGCUUUAUGCACCAUUGGAUGAGCCUGCACUUGAUUAGUUUGUUGGUGGGGUAAUGGCCUACCAAGACUGUGAUCAAUAGCUGAUUUGAGAGGAUGAUCAGCCACAUUGGGACUGAGACACGGCCCAAACUCCUACGGGAGGCAGCAGUGGGGAAUCUUGCACAAUGGAGGAAACUCUGAUGCAGCGAUGCCGCGUGAGUGAAGAAGGCCCUUGGGUUGUAAAGCUCUUUCGUCGGGGAAGAAAAUGACUGUACCCGAAUAAGAAGGUCCGGCUAACUUCGUGCCAGCAGCCGCGGUAAUACGAAGGGACCUAGCGUAGUUCGGAAUUACUGGGCUUAAAGAGUUCGUAGGUGGUUGAAAAAGUUAGUGGUGAAAUCCCAGAGCUUAACUCUGGAACUGCCAUUAAAACUUUUCAGCUAGAGUAUGAUAGAGGAAAGCAGAAUUUCUAGUGUAGAGGUGAAAUUCGUAGAUAUUAGAAAGAAUACCAAUUGCGAAGGCAGCUUUCUGGAUCAUUACUGACACUGAGGAACGAAAGCAUGGGUAGCGAAGAGGAUUAGAUACCCUCGUAGUCCAUGCCGUAAACGAUGUGUGUUAGACGUUGGAAAUUUAUUUUCAGUGUCGCAGGGAAACCGAUAAACACACCGCCUGGGGAGUACGACCGCAAGGUUAAAACUCAAAUGAAUUGACGGGGACCCGCACAAGUAGUGGAGCAUGUGGUUUAAUUCGAAGAUACGCGCAGAACCUUACCAACACUUGACAUGUUCGUCGCGACUCUAAGAGAUUAGAGUUUUCGGUUCGGCCGGACGAAACACAGGUGCUGCAUGGCUGUCGUCAGCUCGUGUCGUGAGAUGUUGGGUUAAGUCCCGCAACGAGCGCAACCCUCACUUUUAGUUGCCAUCAUUAAGUUGGGCACUCUGAAAGAACUGCCAGUGAUAAGCUGGAGGAAGGUGGGGAUGACGUCAAGUCCUCAUGGCCCUUACGUGUUGGGCUACACACGUGCUACAAUGGUAUCUACAACAGGAAGCAAAACUGCGAAGUUAAGCAAAUCCCUAAAAGAUACCUCAGUUCGGAUUGCACUCUGCAACUCGAGUGCAUGAAGCUGGAAUUACUAGUAAUCGUGGAUCAGCGUGCCACGGUGAAUGCGUUCCCGGGUCUUGUACACACCGCCCGUCACACCAUGGGAGUUGGUUCUACCUUAAGGCAAGGUUUUAAACCCUUGACCACGGUAUAGUCAGCGACUGGGGUGAAGUCGUAACAAGGUAACCGU